GGACUUGUGUCUAUUGUGUGUCUGUAGGCCGACUCCACACAUGACAGGGUGGUGAAGCGGGAGGAGGGAGAGAAACUGGCAAAGGAGUUCGGAGUGCCCUACAUGGAGACGAGCGCUAAAUCUGGACUGAAUGUGGAGCUGGCCUUCACUGCUGUGGCCAAAGAACUGAAGCACAGGACCAUGAAGGAGCCUGACCAGCCAAAGUUUCAGCUUCAGGAGUACGUCGACAAAGAAAUGAGGACUGCUGGCUGCUGCCGCUCGUAGACCACAUGCUAUCUGUGUGUGUGUGUGUGUGUGUGUGUGUGUGUGUGAGGAAGGGAACAUGUACGUUCUGUUAGAGUAUGUAAUUAAUUUGAAUUGGUGUGUCUGGGAAUAAUCAUGGAUUCUCAGUGUUUGUAAUAUUUAUUUUUGACGUGAUACUGCCAAUAUGCUCUCUCUCCCAACCCACCUUUCCUCUGCAACUGUGAAUGUAAUAUAAAUUCCUAUCUACAUGCUUACACAUAUACAGUACAUGCAUGUUUAUACACACACACACAACCUUGUACUUCUAUCUUAGUAAGGACACUCAUUGACAUAAUGCAUUCCCUAAACCUAACAUAAUGCCUGUGCCAAUUCGGAGCACUACAUUUUUAUCUUAACCCAACCAUAACCACUUCGACACAAUGCCUACUCCUAAUUACCUCAUGAGAAACAAACAAAUAAAAUACUCUUGUCAAUGGUUAAGGACAGAGGAUGUCACACCUUGUUAAGCCCUAUGAGACAAAUUGUGAUUUGUGAAUAUGGGCUAUAUAAGUAAACUUUGAGUGAUUUAAAUGACCAUUAAGUCAGAAGUUUAGAAGCCUCAUUUGGAGAACCUACAAAAAUAGCUUCCUGAGGUCAUAAUGCAUUGACUAACUGAUUGUCCUAAAACUCCUAAGCCUAACCGCCUUUGUCUGGAAACCUAGUGGUCAGGAGAUUGAUCCGUAAGUUACACCUUUACAAGAUGAAGCUGCAAGUCAGAACUCUAUCAUCUUAAAGCUGGGCAGUGGGACUGCACUUGAGAUACAAAUCAGAAAUAUGACGAAAAUCCACAAACAUGGACAAUUCACUCUGGAUGGAACUGACUCAGCCUGAAAGUCAGAAAUAUGAUUUGGUAAAGGCGAUACAGGGAUGGAGAGCUAUUGACUGAUGUGGGUCUGCCAGGACAUUGCCUUUGGCUCCCCACUUCAACUGCUCAGAUAACUUAACACUCCCUGACCCUAAUGACAAGUCUUUACCCUCAAACAGACCUUUGAGGAAUGCAGGAUCGACCCCUGUCCUAAAGUUUAACGCUCAAAAUGGUCCUCACAAAGCUGGCUGUACAAGUAAACACACACACACACUUUUAUCAUAGUGAGCACACCCAUUGGCAUAAUGCAUUUCCUGGCCCCUUACACUAACCCUAACCAUCACAACUGGAUGUCUAUGCCUAAACUAAACCCUCAAAACAAGGCUUAACUCUCAAACAGACAAGCACCCCCACUCAGGAGUCUACACUCAAAAUGGUCUCAACAAAGAUAUAACUACAAGUACACACCCACACACCUGUUAGAUCCGUUCUGUGCCGUUUUCCAUAAGUGUGACCAUGUACAUAUCUCAAAUGUAAUUUUACUUUUGUGUUCUGAAAUCUUUGUAGUAUGUAAACGUCCCCGUCAUGUUGAAACUCAAGUAUAUGAACACAAACAUGCUAAAUAUUGAAUCAAUCUUCUUAAUGUAAUAGAAAUAGAUCUGAUGAACACGUUCGUAUGGAUACAGCUCUGCUCCUGAUGUUAAAACGUCAAAUGGCACUGUGUGCUGUUUAUGUACAGGAGGAAAUAUGAUGUUUUUAAUACUAUAUCCUAGUGGUCAUGACUGUCAACAGCUGUCUGUAAAAUUUGAUUUAAGCUCUUUUUCAUUUAGUCCAGUUUGGGUUUAAAGCUUUAAUGUUUAAUAUGAAUACAUCUCUCUCUCUGUAAUUAUUAGACCAUGUUCAAUCAGUAAAUGCAUGUAGGCGUUCACUGACCACUACUGUACUUUGCAUUUUACUUAUUUAGGAGAAAUCAGUUGUGUUGCAUUUUCAUAACUCAAGGUCUUUUCCUGGAUCAUCAUGGGCUUCAUCAUCUUUAUUAUUUUUGUGUCGAAUCCAUGAAGUUGAUGAAAGGUGGUGGAAAGCAUCAAAGAAAGACAUUUAAUUAAUUUGUAGUUUAUAUGUUAACAUAAUAAUGUUGUUUGUAUCACAGUGAAUUUUAAACCACACCAAGCAUUGUGUAUAAAAACAAAACCUUGAUGAAGCAUUGGGAAUCGUCCGACAGAGGUUGAACAGUUGCCUCUCCCUUAGAGCUGGGCAAAAUUGCCAGAAGUGAUCAUCAAGAUAAAAAUGUUCAUUUGAUUUUAAUAAAUAUCUCAACAAAUGUCACAUUUUUUGUUUAGUUUGAAGAUUUUUGCUCCUGAGUUAAGAUUGGGGUUUUAAAAUCUUCCUUAUUAGAGACAAACAGCAAAACAUUUUGCAAAUCUGAGGAAGAGCAUCGAAACCGCUGAUGUGUUAAACCUCCUCAUCAUGCUCUCACAAUGAAUAAGCUAUAUAUUGAACUUUUGUCAUAUUGCUAUUGAUGAAAAUUAUAUUGAGAUAAUCAUCUUUUUAUCUUUAAGCACCCAGCUCUGGUUGCUUUCAUUCCAUAGACGUGUCACCAUUAUUACUGUGCUGAGCUAAUGUUGUGAUAUGGCUUCAGUCCCGAGAGGAAAAUGGAGUGGGAUGAAAGAUGUUGCUGUUGUGGAUUGUUUUCAAGGACAAAGAAAGAUGGAGGAUUCAUGAGUAAAGGUUGCUUUGAUUAAAAAAAACACAAUUUUAUUUAUUUUCUAUCAUUGCUGCUUCUGCC
Paralichthys olivaceus (Japanese flounder) is the source of this 2873-nucleotide non-coding RNA. The record is from RefSeq and is a predicted model, not a curated record. Lineage: Eukaryota; Metazoa; Chordata; Actinopteri; Pleuronectiformes; Paralichthyidae.